AAGUCGAGCGAACGGACGAGAAGCUUGCUUCUCUGAUGUUAGCGGCGGACGGGUGAGUAACACGUGGAUAACCUACCUAUAAGACUGGGAUAACUUCGGGAAACCGGAGCUAAUACCGGAUAAUAUUUUGAACCGCAUGGUUCGAAAGUGAAAGACGGUCUUGCUGUCACUUAUAGAUGGAUCCGCGCUGCAUUAGCUAGUUGGUAAGGUAACGGCUUACCAAGGCAACGAUGCAUAGCCGACCUGAGAGGGUGAUCGGCCACACUGGAACUGAGACACGGUCCAGACUCCUACGGGAGGCAGCAGUAGGGAAUCUUCCGCAAUGGGCGAAAGCCUGACGGAGCAACGCCGCGUGAGUGAUGAAGGUCUUCGGAUCGUAAAACUCUGUUAUUAGGGAAGAACAUAUGUGUAAGUAACUGUGCACAUCUUGACGGUACCUAAUCAGAAAGCCACGGCUAACUACGUGCCAGCAGCCGCGGUAAUACGUAGGUGGCAAGCGUUAUCCGGAAUUAUUGGGCGUAAAGCGCGCGUAGGCGGUUUUUUAAGUCUGAUGUGAAAGCCCACGGCUCAACCGUGGAGGGUCAUUGGAAACUGGAAAACUUGAGUGCAGAAGAGGAAAGUGGAAUUCCAUGUGUAGCGGUGAAAUGCGCAGAGAUAUGGAGGAACACCAGUGGCGAAGGCGACUUUCUGGUCUGUAACUGACGCUGAUGUGCGAAAGCGUGGGGAUCAAACAGGAUUAG
RNAcentral lists this ribosomal RNA (740 nucleotides) under uncultured Staphylococcus sp. RNAcentral describes it as "bacterial SSU rRNA". It matches the Rfam family "Bacterial small subunit ribosomal RNA", at positions 59 to 781 of the family's 1533-position model. Lineage: Bacteria; Bacillati; Bacillota; Bacilli; Caryophanales; Staphylococcaceae. The record is from RNAcentral.